Molecule: ribosomal RNA, 292 nt
Filed under: uncultured bacterium
Lineage: Bacteria
Description: partial 16S ribosomal RNA
Rfam family: Bacterial small subunit ribosomal RNA
Source: RNAcentral
UUUCCUACGGGAGGCAGCAGUGAGGAAUAUUGGUCAAUGGGCGGGAGCCUGAACCAGCCAAGCCGCGUGAGGGAAGAAGGUACAGCGUAUCGUAAACCUCUUUUGUCAGGGAACAAAGGCGGGGACUAGUCCCCGGAUGAGGGUACCUGAAGAAAAAGCAUCGGCUAACUCCGUGCCAGCAGCCGCGGUAAUACGGAGGAUGCGAGCGUUAUCCGGAUUUAUUGGGUUUAAAGGGUGCGCAGGCGGGCUGUUAAGCCGGCGGUAAAAAUUCAGGGCUCAACCCUGUCGAGCC